RNAcentral lists this ribosomal RNA (546 nucleotides) under Candida albicans. RNAcentral describes it as "LSU rRNA". It matches the Rfam family "Eukaryotic large subunit ribosomal RNA", at positions 48 to 604 of the family's 3401-position model. The record is from RNAcentral. Lineage: Eukaryota; Fungi; Ascomycota; Pichiomycetes; Serinales; Debaryomycetaceae.
AAGCGGAGGAAAAGAAACCAACAGGGAUUGCCUCAGUAGCGGCGAGUGAAGCGGCAAAAGCUCAAAUUUGAAAUCUGGCGUCUUUGGCGUCCGAGUUGUAAUUUGAAGAAGGUAUCUUUGGGCCCGGCUCUUGUCUAUGUUCCUUGGAACAGGACGUCACAGAGGGUGAGAAUCCCGUGCGAUGAGAUGACCCGGGUCUGUGUAAAGUUCCUUCGACGAGUCGAGUUGUUUGGGAAUGCAGCUCUAAGUGGGUGGUAAAUUCCAUCUAAAGCUAAAUAUUGGCGAGAGACCGAUAGCGAACAAGUACAGUGAUGGAAAGAUGAAAAGAACUUUGAAAAGAGAGUGAAAAAGUACGUGAAAUUGUUGAAAGGGAAGGGCUUGAGAUCAGACUUGGUAUUUUGCAUGCUGCUCUCUCGGGGGCGGCCGCUGCGGUUUACCGGGCCAGCAUCGGUUUGGAGCGGCAGGAUAAUGGCGGAGGAAUGUGGCACGGCUUCUGCUGUGUGUUAUAGCCUCUGACGAUACUGCCAGCCUAGACCGAGGACUGCG